Molecule: transfer RNA, 91 nt
Filed under: Actinoallomurus iriomotensis
Lineage: Bacteria; Bacillati; Actinomycetota; Actinomycetes; Streptosporangiales; Thermomonosporaceae
Description: tRNA-Glu
Source: RNAcentral
GACCAGGCCGGGCAGGCGGCGGCCCGCGAGGCUCUCGGUCUCGCCGGGAACGCAGUCCAUGAACGCCUCGUCCACGACGAGGGUCCGGCCG